AACGAACGCUGGCGGCAUGCCUAACACAUGCAAGUCGAACGAGACCUUCGGGUCUAGUGGCGCACGGGUGCGUAACGCGUGGGAACCUGCCCUUAGGUUCGGAAUAACUCCCCGAAAGGGGUGCUAAUACCGGAUAAUGUCUUCGGACCAAAGAUUUAUCGCCUUUGGAUGGGCCCGCGUUGGAUUAGCUAGUUGGUAGGGUAAAAGCCUACCAAGGCGACGAUCCAUAGCUGGUCUGAGAGGAUGAUCAGCCACACUGGGACUGAGACACGGCCCAGACUCUGAGGGGAGGCAGCAGGGGGAAAUAUUGAAAAAUGGGCGAAAGCCUGAUCCAUCAAUGCCGCGUGAGUGAUGAAGGCUUGAGGGUUAAAAAGCUUUUUUACCCGGGAUGAAAAUGACAGUCCGGGAAGAAAAAGCUCCGGCUAACCCCGUG
RNAcentral lists this ribosomal RNA (433 nucleotides) under uncultured bacterium. Its description in RNAcentral is "partial 16S ribosomal RNA". It matches the Rfam family "Bacterial small subunit ribosomal RNA", at positions 29 to 507 of the family's 1533-position model. The record is from RNAcentral.